Molecule: ribosomal RNA, 497 nt
Filed under: uncultured bacterium
Lineage: Bacteria
Description: partial 16S ribosomal RNA
Rfam family: Bacterial small subunit ribosomal RNA
Source: RNAcentral
GAUGAACGCUGGCGGCGUGCCUAAUACAUGCAAGUCGAGCGAACGGACGAGAAGCUUGCUUCUCUGAUGUUAGCGGCGGACGGGUGAGUAACACGUGGAUAACCUACCUAUAAGACUGGGAUAACUUCGGGAAACCGGAGCUAAUACCGGAUAAUAUUUUGAACCGCAUGGUUCAAAAGUGAAAGACGGUCUUGCUGUCGCUUAUAGAUGGAUCCGCGCUGCAUUAGCUAGUUGGUAAGGUAACGGCUUACCAAGGCAACGAUGCAUAGCCGACCUGAGAGGGUGAUCGGCCACACUGGAACUGAGACACGGUCCAGACUCCUACGGGAGGAAGCAGUAGGGAAUCUUCCGCAAUGGGCGAAAGCCUGACGGAGCAACGCCGAGUGAGUGAUGAAGGUCUUCGGAUCGUAAAACUCUGUUAUUAGGGAAGAACAUAUGUGUAAGUAACUGUGCACAUCUUGACGGUACCUAAUCAGAAAGCCACGGCUAACUACGUG